Molecule: long non-coding RNA, 234 nt
Filed under: Mytilus galloprovincialis (Mediterranean mussel)
Lineage: Eukaryota; Metazoa; Mollusca; Bivalvia; Mytilida; Mytilidae
Source: RNAcentral
GUGUAUCUAUCUAAUGAGUUGAGCCUUUUUCAACUGAUUUCUAUAGUUCGUUCUUAUGUUAUGUUUCAUCACUGCAAUCAUACCACAUCUUCUGUUUUAUAACACUAACACUUUAUAAAAAUGGCUUUAUUCUGUAAACAUUGUAUUGUUUGUCACAUCUUAUAAAUUAUAUGUACAGAUUUCAUUCGUGAUGUUAACAACCUAAUGUAAGGAUAGGCAAUUUGGGUUGCGACG